This 253-nucleotide ribosomal RNA is filed under the name uncultured bacterium. RNAcentral's name for it is "partial 16S ribosomal RNA". It matches the Rfam family "Bacterial small subunit ribosomal RNA", at positions 524 to 776 of the family's 1533-position model. The record is from RNAcentral.
UACGUAGGGGGCAAGCGUUGUCCGGAUUUAUUGGGCGUAAAGAGCGUGUAGGCGGCUAGGUAGGUCCGUUGUGAAAACUCGAGGCUCAACCUCGAGACGUCGAUGGAAACCAUCUAGCUAGAGUCCGGAAGAGGAGAGUGGAAUUCCUGGUGUAGCGGUGAAAUGCGCAGAUAUCAGGAAGAACACCCGUGGCGAAGGCGGCUCUCUGGUACGUGACUGACGCUGAGACGCGAAAGCGUGGGGAGCGAACAGG